This 450-nucleotide ribosomal RNA is filed under the name uncultured bacterium. RNAcentral describes it as "bacterial SSU rRNA". It matches the Rfam family "Bacterial small subunit ribosomal RNA", at positions 354 to 796 of the family's 1533-position model. The record is from RNAcentral.
GUGGGGAAUAUUGGACAAUGGGCGAAAGCCUGAUCCAGCCAUGCCGCGUGUGUGAAGAAGGUCUUCGGAUUGUAAAGCACUUUAAGUUGGGAGGAAGGGCAGUAAGUUAAUACCUUGCUGUUUUGACGUUACCAACAGAAUAAGCACCGGCUAACUUCGUGCCAGCAGCCGCGGUAAUACGAAGGGUGCAAGCGUUAAUCGGAAUUACUGGGCGUAAAGCGCGCGUAGGUGGUUUUGUAAGUUGGAGGUGAAAUCCCCGGGCUCAACCUGGGAACUGCCUCCGAAACUGCAUGACUAGAGUACGGUAGAGGGUAGUGGAAUUUCCUGUGUAGCGGUGAAAUGCGUAGAUAUAGGAAGGAACACCAGUGGCGAAGGCGACUACCUGGACUGAUACUGACACUGAGGUGCGAAAGCGUGGGGAGCAAACAGGAUUAGAAACCCUGGUAGUCC